RNAcentral lists this ribosomal RNA (1438 nucleotides) under Salmonella enterica subsp. enterica serovar Poona. RNAcentral's name for it is "bacterial SSU rRNA". It matches the Rfam family "Bacterial small subunit ribosomal RNA". The record is from RNAcentral. Lineage: Bacteria; Pseudomonadati; Pseudomonadota; Gammaproteobacteria; Enterobacterales; Enterobacteriaceae.
CUGCUUUGCUGACGAGUGGCGGACGGGUGAGUAAUGUCUGGGAAACUGCCUGAUGGAGGGGGAUAACUACUGGAAACGGUGGCUAAUACCGCAUAACGUCGCAAGACCAAAGAGGGGGACCUUCGGGCCUCUUGCCAUCAGAUGUGCCCAGAUGGGAUUAGCUUGUUGGUGAGGUAACGGCUCACCAAGGCGACGAUCCCUAGCUGGUCUGAGAGGAUGACCAGCCACACUGGAACUGAGACACGGUCCAGACUCCUACGGGAGGCAGCAGUGGGGAAUAUUGCACAAUGGGCGCAAGCCUGAUGCAGCCAUGCCGCGUGUAUGAAGAAGGCCUUCGGGUUGUAAAGUACUUUCAGCGGGGAGGAAGGUGUUGUGGUUAAUAACCGCAGCAAUUGACGUUACCCGCAGAAGAAGCACCGGCUAACUCCGUGCCAGCAGCCGCGGUAAUACGGAGGGUGCAAGCGUUAAUCGGAAUUACUGGGCGUAAAGCGCACGCAGGCGGUCUGUCAAGUCGGAUGUGAAAUCCCCGGGCUCAACCUGGGAACUGCAUUCGAAACUGGCAGGCUUGAGUCUUGUAGAGGGGGGUAGAAUUCCAGGUGUAGCGGUGAAAUGCGUAGAGAUCUGGAGGAAUACCGGUGGCGAAGGCGGCCCCCUGGACAAAGACUGACGCUCAGGUGCGAAAGCGUGGGGAGCAAACAGGAUUAGAUACCCUGGUAGUCCACGCCGUAAACGAUGUCUACUUGGAGGUUGUGCCCUUGAGGCGUGGCUUCCGGAGCUAACGCGUUAAGUAGACCGCCUGGGGAGUACGGCCGCAAGGUUAAAACUCAAAUGAAUUGACGGGGGCCCGCACAAGCGGUGGAGCAUGUGGUUUAAUUCGAUGCAACGCGAAGAACCUUACCUGGUCUUGACAUCCACAGAACAUUCCAGAGAUGGAUUGGUGCCUUCGGGAACUGUGAGACAGGUGCUGCAUGGCUGUCGUCAGCUCGUGUUGUGAAAUGUUGGGUUAAGUCCCGCAACGAGCGCAACCCUUAUCCUUUGUUGCCAGCGGUCCGGCCGGGAACUCAAAGGAGACUGCCAGUGAUAAACUGGAGGAAGGUGGGGAUGACGUCAAGUCAUCAUGGCCCUUACGACCAGGGCUACACACGUGCUACAAUGGCGCAUACAAAGAGAAGCGACCUCGCGAGAGCAAGCGGACCUCAUAAAGUGCGUCGUAGUCCGGAUUGGAGUCUGCAACUCGACUCCAUGAAGUCGGAAUCGCUAGUAAUCGUGGAUCAGAAUGCCACGGUGAAUACGUUCCCGGGCCUUGUACACACCGCCCGUCACACCAUGGGAGUGGGUUGCAAAAGAAGUAGGUAGCUUAACCUUCGGGAGGGCGCUUACCACUUUGUGAUUCAUGACUGGGGUGAAGUCGUAACAAGGUAACCGUAGGGGAACCUGC